RNAcentral lists this ribosomal RNA (483 nucleotides) under uncultured bacterium. RNAcentral describes it as "partial 16S ribosomal RNA". It matches the Rfam family "Bacterial small subunit ribosomal RNA", at positions 28 to 507 of the family's 1533-position model. The record is from RNAcentral.
GACGAACGCUGGCGGCGUGCUUAACACAUGCAAGUCGAACGCUGAAGCUCAGCUUUUGUUGGGUGGAUGAGUGGCGAACGGGUGAGUAACACGUGAGUAACCUGCCCCCUUCUUUGGGAUAACGCCCGGAAACGGGUGCUAAUACUGGAUAUUCACUGGUCUUCGCAUGGGGGUUGGUGGAAAGGGUUUUUCUGGUGGGGGAUGGGCUCGCGGCCUAUCAGCUUGUUGGUGGGGUGAUGGCCUACCAAGGCUUUGACGGGUAGCCGGCCUGAGAGGGUGACCGGGCACAAUGGGACUGGGAUUCGGCCCAGAAUUCCACGGGAGGCAGCAGUGGGGAAUAUUGCACAAUGGGCGCAAGCCUGAUGCAGCGACGCCGCGUGAGGGAUGGAGGCCUUCGGGUUGUGAACCUCUUUCGCUCAUGGUCAAGCCGCAACAAUGGUUGUGGUGAGGGUAGUGGGUAAAGAAGCGCCGGCUAACUACGUG